GCCAACUUGCAUACCAUGUUGGAUACACCGGUUCUUGUCCGACCACUGAAGUUAAGCAACAUCUAGCGUGGUUCGUACCUGGAUGGGUGACCCUAUGAGAGGGUUUUGCACAGCGCC
RNAcentral lists this ribosomal RNA (117 nucleotides) under Rhodnius prolixus. The record is from RNAcentral. Lineage: Eukaryota; Metazoa; Arthropoda; Insecta; Hemiptera; Reduviidae.